GCUAGCCUGAAGACCACUGUCACAGACACAUAGGACAAGACGCCCUUUUCCCCUGCAGAGGAAGGAGCUUUUACCCCACCCACUAUAGAACGCUGAAGAAACACAUCUUCUUGGGCAGGGCGAUGAGACAAUACUAGAACAUAGAAGUUUAUCAGCAUAACCCUGACUGCCAUGGGGAAGGAGGGGUUUGAGGUGAAGAGAGGAGUCACAGUUCCGUUCACUAUUCCCCCAACGAUGGCUGUCUCCAACUGGUUGCUGUUAACAGUCGUGCUGCAAUGAACAAGCCUGUGCAUGCCCCUUUGUGUUUCCUGAAGGCAGAUCCAGAGACAGUGAAUGACUACCUCACUAUUCUGGCAUAUCUGGAGGAUUUAAGGAUAAAAUACAGCUUAAAGAUAACAAAAUGCUGAGCCAAGAGAAGAUGACCAUAAAACUAGGCAAGUCAAAGCAAGACUCCAGGGAAAAGCAGGAAGCUAUUACACACAGAGCACAGUGAGCUAAUGGCAGCAAAACAGCAACAAGACGUUCCAAGAAUAAAUUGUCACCUCUGAUCCGUAUUUCCAGAAACGUGGAGGCUAAAAGUCUGUGCUAGCACUCUUCUUUGAAAUGUGACAGCCUGGAAAAUCCUUAGAGUCUAAUGCAAUCAUUUUGUCAAUUUGACAAGCACUUUUGGCCUCAGUCUCUAAGACAGCUACUCUAAUACCAACAUGUGUAUGCCUGCUUCUUCUCUAAUAAAUCAAAACACCGAAGAUUCAGGGAGAGUUACCCAUGGGACAUUUUAAGCCGCAUCACCGUUAGACUCUGAUAGUCUAAAACGUAAUGAAAGCUGUUACAGUUAAAGUUAGGAGUCUUCCUUAAAGCUUUCUGUAAAAUUUUUUUAGAACUUAAGUCCAAGUAGAAUAUAAUUACUGUAUCUUCUUUUUCCAGAAUUAUCUUUAGUC
Rhinolophus ferrumequinum (greater horseshoe bat) is the source of this 938-nucleotide long non-coding RNA. RefSeq lists it as uncharacterized. NCBI's taxonomy places the organism in Eukaryota, Metazoa, Chordata, Mammalia, Chiroptera, Rhinolophidae. The record is from RefSeq and is a predicted model, not a curated record. The transcript is spliced from 3 exons.